This 567-nucleotide long non-coding RNA is filed under the name Homo sapiens (human). RNAcentral's name for it is "non-protein coding lnc-CYSLTR2-2:1". The record is from RNAcentral. Lineage: Eukaryota; Metazoa; Chordata; Mammalia; Primates; Hominidae.
AUAUCCUUAUGAGUUCUAUCUAUUGUUAGAUAGAACUACAUGAACAGAAGCUCUUUGAGUCCUCAAUCAUUUUUAAGAGUGCAAAGAGGUCUUAAGACCAAAAUGAUCGCAAUCUGCUGACCUACUUUGGGCAAGAUGACAUACUCUCACCUUUUCUGUUCAUUCUCUUUAGCCUUCAGAGCAGACCUGUAAGAGCCUAGAUUUCCAGCGUAUGGAAAGCAAAAAGGAGGCUCAGAGUAAAGCCGCACCUCUAAUAAGGGAUAAAGCUGGGAUUGGACAUCACUUUCUCUGCUCUACCCAUUUUGCUGCACUGUCUCUUAGCAUCCAUUGUGGCAAAAAGAAGUUUUAUGGAAGAGAAAGCAAGCCGCAAACAUUAGAGAUUUUGCAAGAGGCAAGCUUCACUCUCCAAUACUUGCUGAAAAAUAUUCUCUGUGCUCCUCGGUCUCCAAAGAAGGAGACUAAUUUAGUUCAAAAAGAGAGAUCUCUGUCCGCGGCUCAGCCCUGGGUGUCGGGGUUCCAGGCGUCGCUGGGUCUGGGCGCGCCACGUCUGCACAGCGCCCUCUGUUG